Molecule: ribosomal RNA, 253 nt
Filed under: uncultured bacterium
Lineage: Bacteria
Description: partial 16S ribosomal RNA
Rfam family: Bacterial small subunit ribosomal RNA
Source: RNAcentral
UACGUAGGGAGCAAGCGUUAUCCGGAUUUAUUGGGCGUAAAGGGAGCGUAGGCGGAUAGUUUAGUCAGAGGUGAAAGCCCAGGGCUCAACCUUGGAAUUGCCUUUGAUACUGGCUAUCUUGAGUGUGGGAGAGGUAUGUGGAACUCCGAGUGUAGAGGUGAAAUUCGUAGAUAUUCGGAAGAACACCAGUGGCGAAGGCGACAUACUGGCCCAUUACUGACGCUGAGGCUCGAAAGCGUGGGGAGCAAACAGG